This is a non-coding RNA of Phlebotomus papatasi, 46 nucleotides long. NCBI's taxonomy places the organism in Eukaryota, Metazoa, Arthropoda, Insecta, Diptera, Psychodidae. The record is from Rfam.
CAUGAGGCUUCAUUGGAAGCCACCCACCAAUCAAUAUUGAGUUAUA